GAUGAAGAACGCAGCGAAAUGCGAUAAGUAAUGUGAAUUGCAGAAUUCAGUGAAUCAUCGAAUCUUUGAACGCACCUUGCACCCUUUGGCAUUCCGAAGGGUAUGCUCGUUUGAGUGUCAUUGUACUCUCACACUCUCCGAUCCUAUGGAUUCGGGGAGCGGUGGACUUGGGUGUUGCUGCCUUUCCUUGUGGCUCACCUCAAAUGUGUCAGUGCACCUCUUGGUUGGACAUAGUACGGCGUGAUAAGUGUCUUCGCCGGCACCUCGCAAGAGGGUGGCCGAUCGGGAGCUCUGUGCUUUCAAACCGUCUUCGGACAAUUUCUGACAACUUGACCUCAAAUCGAGUAGGACUACCCGCUGAACUUAAGCAUAUCAUAAGCGGGGA
RNAcentral lists this unclassified non-coding RNA (385 nucleotides) under soil metagenome. RNAcentral's name for it is "partial contains 5.8S ribosomal RNA, internal transcribed spacer 2, and large subunit ribosomal RNA". The stretch from base 1 to 120 matches the Rfam family "5.8S ribosomal RNA", at positions 35 to 154 of the family's 154-position model. The record is from RNAcentral.